This 309-nucleotide ribosomal RNA is filed under the name Triticum aestivum (bread wheat). Its description in RNAcentral is "partial small subunit ribosomal RNA". Lineage: Eukaryota; Viridiplantae; Streptophyta; Magnoliopsida; Poales; Poaceae. The record is from RNAcentral.
AUGGGCGGGCGGCCCAGCAGCUCGGCCGGCACGAGGAAGCGCUCCGUCUCCUCCCCCUCCGCGCCCACCUCCACCGGCACGUGCCCCGCCGGCACCUUCCCCGACGCCGCCGACGGCGAGAUCGCCAUCUCCGCCACGGCCCCCGGCGCCACCCUGCACGCCCCCGUCGACACGCACCGCAGCAGCCCCCCCUUCUUCAUCGCCUCCUCUUCCGCUCCCCUCACGCGGCUCGGUCGAAGGUGUGGCGUGCGGAGGAGGAUGGGAUGGAGAUACCGAGGCGAGGCGAGGUCGGCCGCGCGCAGUGAAUGA